This 521-nucleotide ribosomal RNA is filed under the name Saccharomyces uvarum. Its description in RNAcentral is "LSU rRNA". It matches the Rfam family "Eukaryotic large subunit ribosomal RNA", at positions 106 to 641 of the family's 3401-position model. The record is from RNAcentral. Lineage: Eukaryota; Fungi; Ascomycota; Saccharomycetes; Saccharomycetales; Saccharomycetaceae.
AGCUCAAAUUUGAAAUCUGGUACCUUUGGUGCCCGAGUUGUAAUUUGGAGAGGGCAACUUUGGGACCGUUCCUUGUCUAUGUUCCUUGGAACAGGACGUCAUAGAGGGUGAGAAUCCCGUGUGGCGAGGAGUGCGGUUCUAUGUAAAGUGCCUUCGAAGAGUCGAGUUGUUUGGGAAUGCAGCUCUAAGUGGGUGGUAAAUUCCAUCUAAAGCUAAAUAUUGGCGAGAGACCGAUAGCGAACAAGUACAGUGAUGGAAAGAUGAAAAGAACUUUGAAAAGAGAGUGAAAAAGUACGUGAAAUUGUUGAAAGGGAAGGGCAUUUGAUCAGACAUGGUGUUUUGCGCCCUCUGCUCCUUGUGGGUGGGGGAAUCUCGCAGUUCACUGGGCCAGCAUCAGUUUUGGUGGCAGGAUAAAUCCGUAGGAAUGUAACUUGCUUCGGGAAGUAUUAUAGCCUAUGGGAAUACUGCCAGCUGGGACUGAGGACUGCGACGUAAGUCAAGGAUGCUGGCAUAAUGGUUAU